Molecule: ribosomal RNA, 328 nt
Filed under: uncultured eukaryote
Lineage: Eukaryota
Description: partial 18S ribosomal RNA
Rfam family: Eukaryotic small subunit ribosomal RNA
Source: RNAcentral
UCCCUUAGAUGUUCUGGGCCGCACGCGCGCUACACUGACGAAUGCAACGAGCUUAUAACCUUGGCCGAAAGGUCUGGGUAAUCUCCAAAUUUCGUCGUGAUGGGGAUAGAUUAUUGCAAUUAUUAAUCUUCAACGAGGAAUGCCUAGUAAGCGCAAGUCAUCAGCUUGCGUUGAUUACGUCCCUGCCCUUUGUACACACCGCCCGUCGCUCCUACCGAUUGAAUGGUCCGGUGAAGCGUUCGGACCGUGGCCUUUGGACGGUUCGCCGUCUGUUGGCUGCGGGAAGUUCGUUAAACCUUAUCAUUUAGAGGAAGGAGAAGUCGUAACA